RNAcentral lists this transfer RNA (77 nucleotides) under Salmonella enterica subsp. enterica. RNAcentral describes it as "tRNA-OTHER". It matches the Rfam family "tRNA". Rfam says of the family: Transfer RNA (tRNA) molecules are approximately 80 nucleotides in length. Their secondary structure includes four short double-helical elements and three loops (D, anti-codon, and T loops). Further hydrogen bonds mediate the characteristic L-shaped molecular structure. tRNAs have two regions of fundamental functional importance: the anti-codon, which is responsible for specific mRNA codon recognition, and the 3' end, to which the tRNAs corresponding amino acid is attached (by aminoacyl-tRNA synthetases). tRNAs cope with the degeneracy of the genetic code in two manners: having more than one tRNA (with a specific anti-codon) for a particular amino acid; and 'wobble' base-pairing, i.e. permitting non-standard base-pairing at the 3rd anti-codon position. Lineage: Bacteria; Pseudomonadati; Pseudomonadota; Gammaproteobacteria; Enterobacterales; Enterobacteriaceae. The record is from RNAcentral.
GGGCCGUUAGCUCAGUUGGUAGAGCAGUUGACUUUAAUCAAUUGGUCGCAGUGUUCGAAUCCUGCACGACCUCACCA